AAUCGAACCCGGAGAUAGCUGGUUCUCCUCGAAAUAGCUUUAGGGCUAGCCUCGAUACAGAUUUGCGGAGGUAGAGCACUGAAUUUCCUAGGGGGCGUCAAAGCCUACCGAAGAAUAUCAAACUCCGAAUGCCGCGUAAUCGAUUAUCGGGAGUCAGACUGCACGAGAUAAGUUGGGCGGUCAAAAGGGAAAGAGCCCAGACCUUCAGUUAAGGUCCCAAAGUGCGCGUUAAGUGGAAAAGGAUGUGGGAUUUCGAAGACAACCAGGAUGUUGGCUCAGAAGCAGCCAUCCAUUCAAAGAGUGCGUAAUAGCUCACUGGUCGAGAGGUCCUGCGCCGAAAAUGUCCGGGGCUGAAACGCGCCACCGAAACUAAGGAACCGAAAGGUUGGUAGAGGAGCAUUGCAUGCGGAACGAAGCAGUACCGUAAGGAGCUGUGGACUGCAUGGAAGAGAGAAUGCCGGAAUGAGUAGCGAGAUAGAGGUGGGAAUCCUCUAGGCCGAAUAUCCAAGGUUUCCAGAGUAAAGCUGAUCUGCUCUGGGUAAGUCGGGGCCUAAGGCGAGGACGAGAGUCGUAGCCGAUGGACAACAGGUGGAGAUUCCUGUACUGCGGUAUGACAGAACUGUGGGGACACGUAAGGAAAGCGGAAGCCGGGAAUGGAAAGCCCGGUGCAAGCGGGGUACCAGUCACUUUGGCAAAUCCGGGUGGCAAUGGGAAGCCGUGAUGCGGAGCGAAAUAAAGUAGCGAAGUCCGUGAGCCAUGCGUCAAGAAAAGCCGCUAUUGUUUAUACCGUACCCGUACCGUAAACCGACACAGGUGGAUGAGGAGAGAAUCCUAAGGCCGGCGGAAGAAGCAUUGUCAAGGAACUCGGCAAAAUGGCCCCGUAACUUAGGGAUAAGGGGUGCCUCAGAAAUGAGGCCGCAGAGAAUAGGCUCAAGCAACUGUUUAGCAAAAACACAGGUCUAUGCGAAACCGAAAGGUGAGGUAUAUGGGCUGACGCCUGCCCGGUGCUGGAAGGUUAAGAGGAGAGGUUAGCGCAAGCGAAGCUUUGAAUUUAAGCCCCAGUAAACGGCGGCCGUAACUAUAACGGUCCUAAGGUAGCGAAAUUCCUUGUCGGGUAAGUUCCGACCCGCACGAAAGGCGUAAUGAUUUGAGCACUGUCUCGACAAUGCAUCCGGUGAAAUUGAAGUACCAGUGAAGAUGCUGGUUACCUGCGCCAGGACGGAAAGACCCCAUGGAGCUUUACUCCAGCUUGAUACUGGGAUUCGAUACUGUAUGUACAGGAUAGGUGGGAGACGUUGAGCAUAGAACGCCAGUUUUAUGUGAGUCGCUGUUGGGAUACCACCCUUGCAGUAUUGGAUUUCUAACCUGCACCCAUGACCUGGGUGGGGGACAAUGUCUGGCGGGGAGUUUGACUGGGGCGGUCGCCUCCGAAAGGGUAUCGGAGGCGCUCAAAGGUUCCCUCAGAAUGGUUGGAAACCAUUCGAAGAGUGCAAAGGCAGAAGGGAGCUUGACUGCGACACCGACGGGUGGAGCAGGUACGAAAGUAGGACUUAGUGAUCCGGUGGUAUAAAGUGGGAUUGCCAUCGCUCAACGGAUAAAAGCUACCCUGGGGAUAACAGGCUUAUCACUCCCAAGAGUUCACAUCGACGGAGUGGUUUGGCACCUCGAUGUCGGCUCAUCGCAUCCUGGGGCUGUAGCAGGUCCCAAGGGUUGGGCUGUUCGCCCAUUAAAGCGGUACGCGAGCUGGGUUCAGAACGUCGUGAGACAGUUCGGUCCCUAUCCGGCGCAGGCGGAGGAUAUUUGAGAGGAGCUGUCCUUAGUACGAGAGGACCGGGAUGGACGGACCACUGGUGUAUCUGUUGGCUAUCGGAGCCAUGGCAGAGUAGCCAAGUCCGGCAGGGAUAAACGCUGAAGGCAUCUAAGCGUGAAGCCCCCCUCAAGAUGAGAUAUCCCUCAGAAAUGAGUAAGACCCCUUGA
RNAcentral lists this ribosomal RNA (1977 nucleotides) under human gut metagenome. Its description in RNAcentral is "bacterial LSU rRNA". It matches the Rfam family "Bacterial large subunit ribosomal RNA", at positions 831 to 2841 of the family's 2925-position model. The record is from RNAcentral.